Molecule: non-coding RNA, 681 nt
Organism: Camellia sinensis
Lineage: Eukaryota; Viridiplantae; Streptophyta; Magnoliopsida; Ericales; Theaceae
Source: RefSeq, a predicted model, not a curated record
GUGGGGAUCCUUAUCAUAUUUAUUAAUCUACAACACUGCUUAUUGUAUUAUUUCAAAGAAAAUAAUUAAAGCCACACCUAUAGCCUACACCUAUUUGUAGAGGGUACUGGAGAUCUAAAAGGUGAGAUUGAAACAGGGUUUACUCUCUCACCCAAAUCGGUAUAUACACCCAUUUAAAAAAAAACUCUGCAUAUACCCCUCUCUCUCUCUCUCCCUCCCUCCCUCCCUCCUUUAUACCUUCGAUGACCAACGUUCCAGCUGCUUCUUGCCGACCGACUCCACUGCAGUUCUUCUUCCUCCAUUCUUUGACAAGUGCUAGGUCUUCUCAACUCCACCACAUAGUUCCCUUUCAUCCAAACAGCCCAGUAUCUAUCUCCUCUCUCCACACCAAAUAUUUUCCAACCUCAAGCCCAACAAUUGCAUUACCGACGGCAGACCCAGAGCCAUCCUCUCACUGAUUACGGAGUAAUGGAUGUAUGAAUAGAUGUGAACCUGUUCAUGAAAUUGCCAAUCAGAUUUAGAUAUACCCAAAUUCUUUGUUUGAUUUUGAUAGACGGUUUCAUCUCACAACGAAACGCGAUUUUCUCUCUUAAGAAUCGCGUUUCUUACACGAUUUUGAUUCGGGAACGCAAAAUCGCGUUUCUCCCACAAACUCGUCACCUACUGUAACGAUUCCUGCCA